This 992-nucleotide ribosomal RNA is filed under the name uncultured archaeon 20b-31. RNAcentral's name for it is "bacterial SSU rRNA". It matches the Rfam family "Archaeal small subunit ribosomal RNA", at positions 4 to 921 of the family's 1478-position model. The record is from RNAcentral.
CUGGUUGAUCCUGCCGGACCCGACUGCUAUCGGAGUGAGACUAAGCCAUGCGAGUCGUGCGCUCCGGGCUGGCGGAGCGCGGCGUACGGCUCAGUAACACGUGGUCAACCUACCCUGCGGACGGCUAUAACCCCGGGAAACUGGGGCUAAUAGCCGAUAGGGGAUAGGUGCUGGAAGGCCCUGUCCUCGAAAGGCCUAACCACCCAUGCCGUGGUUAGGCGCCGCAGGAUGGGACUGCGCCCUAUCAGGUAGACGGUGGGGUAACGGCCCACCGUGCCUGUAACGGGUGCGGGCCCUGGGAGGGGGAGCCCGGAGAUGGGCACUGAGACAAGGGCCCAGGCCCUACGGGGCGCAGCAGGCGCGAAAACUCCGCUAUGCGCGAAAGCGCGACGGGGUCACUCCGAGUGCCGCCCGCUGAGGGCGGCUUUUGCCCAGUCCAAAAGGCUGGGCGAAUAAGGGGAGGGCAAGUUUGGUGUCAGCCGCCGCGGUAAUACCAACUCCCCGAGUGGUCGGGACGAUUAUUGGGCUUAAAGCGUCCGUAGCCGGCCCGGUGUGUCUCUGGUCAAAUCCGGCGUCUCAAGCGCCGGACCGCCGGAGAUACUACUGGGCUAGGGAGCGGGAGAGGCGGGCGGUAUUCCCUGGGUAGGGGUAAAAUCCUAAGAUCCAGGGAGGACCAUCGGUGGCGAAGGCGGCCCGCUAGAACGCGUCCGACGGUGAGGGACGAAAGCUGGGGGAGCGAUCCGGAUUAGAUACCCGGGUAGUCCCGGCCGUAAACGAUGCAGGCUAGGUGUGUGGACGCCUUAGGGGCGUCCAUGUGCCGAAGGGAAACCGUUAAGCCUGCCGCCUGGGGAGUACGGCCGCAAGGCUGAAACCCUAGGAGGCCCUUAACUGAUAUAAUGAGGAAGGGUUCUCCUAGGGCAGCACACUUAAAGGAAUUGGCGGGGGAGCACCACAAGGGGUGGAGCCUGCGGUUCAAUUGGAGUCAACGCCGG